GGGCAAUGGCUCAGUGGUACAACAUCUGCUUUGCAUGCAGAAGGUCCCAGGUUCAAUCCCUUGCAUCUCCA
This 71-nucleotide transfer RNA is filed under the name Podarcis lilfordi (Lilford's wall lizard). RNAcentral's name for it is "tRNA.Ala". It matches the Rfam family "tRNA". Rfam says of the family: Transfer RNA (tRNA) molecules are approximately 80 nucleotides in length. Their secondary structure includes four short double-helical elements and three loops (D, anti-codon, and T loops). Further hydrogen bonds mediate the characteristic L-shaped molecular structure. tRNAs have two regions of fundamental functional importance: the anti-codon, which is responsible for specific mRNA codon recognition, and the 3' end, to which the tRNAs corresponding amino acid is attached (by aminoacyl-tRNA synthetases). tRNAs cope with the degeneracy of the genetic code in two manners: having more than one tRNA (with a specific anti-codon) for a particular amino acid; and 'wobble' base-pairing, i.e. permitting non-standard base-pairing at the 3rd anti-codon position. The record is from RNAcentral. Lineage: Eukaryota; Metazoa; Chordata; Lepidosauria; Squamata; Lacertidae.